RNAcentral lists this transfer RNA (58 nucleotides) under Dipodomys ordii (Ord's kangaroo rat). It matches the Rfam family "tRNA", at positions 8 to 63 of the family's 71-position model. Rfam says of the family: Transfer RNA (tRNA) molecules are approximately 80 nucleotides in length. Their secondary structure includes four short double-helical elements and three loops (D, anti-codon, and T loops). Further hydrogen bonds mediate the characteristic L-shaped molecular structure. tRNAs have two regions of fundamental functional importance: the anti-codon, which is responsible for specific mRNA codon recognition, and the 3' end, to which the tRNAs corresponding amino acid is attached (by aminoacyl-tRNA synthetases). tRNAs cope with the degeneracy of the genetic code in two manners: having more than one tRNA (with a specific anti-codon) for a particular amino acid; and 'wobble' base-pairing, i.e. permitting non-standard base-pairing at the 3rd anti-codon position. Lineage: Eukaryota; Metazoa; Chordata; Mammalia; Rodentia; Heteromyidae. The record is from Rfam by way of RNAcentral.
UGGCUCAGAGGUAGAGUGCUUGCCUUGCAUGCAUGAGGCCCUGGGUUCGAUUCCUCAG